Homo sapiens (human) is the source of this 1917-nucleotide long non-coding RNA. Ensembl annotates it as SDCBP2 antisense RNA 1. Its record names the gene SDCBP2-AS1. NCBI's taxonomy places the organism in Eukaryota, Metazoa, Chordata, Mammalia, Primates, Hominidae. The record is from Ensembl.
CUAGCGGCUGCAGAGUGGAACAUGGCGGCCUCCUUGCCGCUUGCGUUACCAGAGUCCACCCGGCCUCGUGCUUUCUCCGGGCGCCCGUAGCUGGCGCCGGCAUCCACAAAAAUAGAUCAGGUCAUAAAAGGCACUGCAGCUUCCAUGUUGGUCUUUUGGAUCACUGGAUCUGGGGGAAACCAACCACUGUGUUGUGAGGACACGCAAGCAGUUCUGUGGAGGCUCACGUGGAGAGGAAAGAACCAGGGGACCAGCUACCUUGCAAAUCAACCCUAACAACUUGGUUGAUGACACAAAGACCACAAAGGAAAGAGUACAUGAAGCAGGGCCCUUUGAACCUAUGGAGCACAGUUUGGCACUAUGUACCAAUGACACUUGUUUUAAUUAACAAACCAAUAUUGAUACAUUAUUAUUAACUAUAGUCUAUAUUAAGGUUCUCUUUUUUUGUAUUGUACAGAUCUGUGGGGUUUUGACAAAUGCAUAAUAUUGUGUAUCCACCAUUACACUGUCAUACAGAAUAGUUUUUACUGCCCUGAAAAGCCUCUGUGCUCUACCUAUUUAACCCUCUGCGCUCACACCAAACCCCUGGCAACCACUGACUGACCUUUUUACAUUCCCUAUAGUUCUGCUUUUUGCAGAAUGUCAUAGUAGAAAUCAUACACUAUGUAGACUUUUCAGACUGGCUUCUUUCAUGUAACAAUAUGCAUUUGUUUCUUCCAUGUCUUUUCUUAGCUUGGUAGCUCAUUUCUUUCUGUUGCUGAAUAAUAUUCCAUUGAAUGGAUGUGCCAGACUUUGUUUAUUCAUUCACCUAUUAAAGGACAUCUUGGUGGCUUCCAGUUUCUGGCAAUUGUGAAUAAAGCUACUAUAAAUAUUUAUGUGCAGGUUUUUGUGUGGACAUAAGUUUACAACUCAAUUGGGUAAAUAUCUAGGAGUGCAAUUACUGGAUCAUAUGGUGCAAAUAUGUUUAGUUUUAUAAGGAACUGCUGAACUCUUCCAAAGUAGCUGUAGCGUUUUGCAUUCUCACCAGCAAUGAAAGAGCAUUCUGUUGCCAGCAUUUGGUGUUGUCAGUUUUGUGGAUUUUAGUCACUCUAAAAGAUAUGUAGUGAAAUCUCAUUUUAAUUUGCAAUCUCCUAAUGACAUAUGAUGUGGAUCUUCAUCUCUAUGCUUAUUUGUCACCUGCAUAUUUUCUUUAGUGAGGUGUAAUUUUCAGACCUUUUGCCCAUGUAAAAAAUUAGGUUCUUUUCUUAUUGUUGAGUUUUAAGUGUUUAUAAUUUUGAAUACCAGUCCUUUAUCAGUUAAUGUGUUUUGCAAAUAACUUCUAAUCUUUGGCUUACCUUUUCAUUCUCUUAACAUUCUUUCACAGAGCAGAAGUUUUUAAUUUUAAUAAAGUUCAGUUUAAGAAUUUUUUGUUCCAUGGGUUGUGCUUUUGGUGUUGAAUUUAAAAACUCAUCGCCAAACCACAAACCACAUAGAUUGGUUCCUAUAUUAGCUUCUGUAAGUUUUGUAGUUUUAUGUUUCACAUUUAAGUCUAAGAUCCAUUUUGAUCUAACUUUUAUAAAAGGUGGAAGGACUGUCUGGAUUUUCCCAUUUGUUAAAAAGAUUCUCCUCUUCCCUCUUCCUGCACUGAAUUGCCUUUGCUUCUUUGACAAAUAUAAUUUGACUAUAUUUAUGUGGGUGUAUUUCUGGGCUCUCUAUUCUGUGCUGUUGAUCAGUUUGUCUGUUUUUUCACCAAUACCACACAGUCUUGCCUAAUGUAGAUUUAUAGUAAGUCAUAAAGUCAGGUAGUGUUAAUCCUCUGACUUUGUUCCUUUUCAGGAUUGUGUUGGUCAUUCUAGGUCAUUUGACUUCCCAUAUUAACUUUAGAAUCUGUCAAUAUUCACAAAAUAACUUAUUCGAAUUUUAUUGGAAUUGUGUUGA